Molecule: ribosomal RNA, 670 nt
Filed under: uncultured bacterium
Lineage: Bacteria
Description: bacterial SSU rRNA
Rfam family: Bacterial small subunit ribosomal RNA
Source: RNAcentral
AGAGUUUGAUCCUGGCUCAGGAUGAACGCUGGCGGCGUGCCUAAUACAUGCAAGUCGAACGCUUCACUUCGGUGAAGAGUGGCGAACGGGUGAGUAAUACAUAAGUAACCUGGCAUCUACAGGGGGAUAACUGAUGGAAACGUCAGCUAAGACCGCAUAGGUGUAGAGAUCGCAUGAACUCUAUAUGAAAAGUGCUACGGGACUGGUAGAUGAUGGACUUAUGGCGCAUUAGCUUGUUGGUAGGGUAACGGCCUACCAAGGCGACGAUGCGUAGCCGACCUGAGAGGGUGACCGGCCACACUGGGACUGAGACACGGCCCAGACUCCUACGGGAGGCAGCAGUAGGGAAUUUUCGGCAAUGGGGGAAACCCUGACCGAGCAACGCCGCGUGAAGGAAGAAGUAAUUCGUUAUGUAAACUUCUGUCAUAGAGGAAGAACGGUGGAUAUAGGGAAUGAUAUCCAAGUGACGGUACUCUAUAAGAAAGCCACGGCUAACUACGUGCCAGCAGCCGCGGUAAUACGUAGGUGGCGAGCGUUAUCCGGAAUUAUUGGGCGUAAAGAGGGAGCAGGCGGCACUAAGGGUCUGUGGUGAAAGAUCGAAGCUUAACUUCGGUAAGCCAUGGAAACCGUAGAGCUAGAGUGUGUGAGAGGAUCGUGGAACUCCAUGUGU